UUAAUUGAAGCCAAAAAGAGGCUUAUCACUGUUAAUGAUAAAAUUGAGAUUCAUACUCCAAUUAAA
Molecule: transfer RNA, 66 nt
Filed under: Sarcophaga polystylata
Lineage: Eukaryota; Metazoa; Arthropoda; Insecta; Diptera; Sarcophagidae
Also listed under: 1 other name
Description: tRNA-Asn
Source: RNAcentral